RNAcentral lists this ribosomal RNA (373 nucleotides) under uncultured bacterium. RNAcentral describes it as "bacterial SSU rRNA". It matches the Rfam family "Bacterial small subunit ribosomal RNA", at positions 525 to 896 of the family's 1533-position model. The record is from RNAcentral.
ACAUAGGGUGCAAGCGUUGUCCGGAAUUAUUGGGCGUAAAGAGCUCGUAGGUGGUUAGAUACGUCGGACGUGAAAAUCAGGGGCUCAACCCCUGACCUGCGUUCGAUACGGUCUAGCUAGAGUGUGGUAGGGGAGACUGGAAUUCCUGGUGUAGCGGUGGAAUGCGCAGAUAUCAGGAGGAACACCGAUGGCGAAGGCAGGUCUCUGGGCCAUUACUGACACUGAGGAGCGAAAGCGUGGGGAGCGAACAGGAUUAGAUACCCUGGUAGUCCACGCCGUAAACGGUGGGCGCUAGUUGUGCGAACCUUCCACGGUUUGUGCGACGCAGCUAACGCAUUAAGCGCCCCGCCUGGGGAGUACGAUCGCAAGAUUA